GAGACACCUUUAUGGAGCAGGGCUUGAUACAGUGGGGCUUUGAUGCUCACUGGGUCUGCCCCUUAAGAGUGUCACU
This 76-nucleotide microRNA precursor is filed under the name Myotis davidii. Its description in RNAcentral is "mir-9229 microRNA precursor family". It matches the Rfam family "mir-9229 microRNA precursor family". The record is from Rfam by way of RNAcentral. Lineage: Eukaryota; Metazoa; Chordata; Mammalia; Chiroptera; Vespertilionidae.